RNAcentral lists this ribosomal RNA (329 nucleotides) under uncultured eukaryote. RNAcentral describes it as "partial 18S ribosomal RNA". It matches the Rfam family "Eukaryotic small subunit ribosomal RNA", at positions 1470 to 1796 of the family's 1831-position model. The record is from RNAcentral.
CCCUUAGAUGUUCUGGGCCGCACGCGCGCUACACUGACGAUGGCAACGAGUUUUUCCUUCGCCGAAAGGUGUGGGUAAUCUUGUGAAACAUCGUCGUGCUGGGGAUAGAUCAUUGCAAUUUUUGAUCUUGAACGAGGAAUUCCUAGUAAGCGCGAGUCAUCAGCUCGCGUUGAUUACGUCCCUGCCCUUUGUACACACCGCCCGUCGCUACUACCGAUUGAAUGGUUUAGUGAGGACUCCUGAUUGGCGCCGCCGCCCCGGCAACGGAGCAGCGGACUGCCGAAAAGUUGUUCAAACUUGAUCAUUUAGAGGAAGUAAAAGUCGUAACA